Molecule: ribosomal RNA, 492 nt
Filed under: uncultured bacterium
Lineage: Bacteria
Description: partial 16S ribosomal RNA
Rfam family: Bacterial small subunit ribosomal RNA
Source: RNAcentral
AGUGAACGCUGGCGGUAGGCCUAACACAUGCAAGUCGAAUGGCAGCACAGUAAGAGCUUGCUCUUACGGGUGGCGAGUGGCGGACGGGUGAGGAAUACAUCGGAAUCUACUUUUUCGUGGGGGAUAACGUAGGGAAACUUACGCUAAUACCGCAUACGACCUACGGGUGAAAGCAGGGGAUCUUCGGACCUUGCGCGAUUGAAUGAGCCGAUGUCGGAUUAGCUAGUUGGCGGGGUAAAGGCCCACCAAGGCGACGAUCCGUAGCUGGUCUGAGAGGAUGAUCAGCCACACUGGAACUGAGACACGGUCCAGACUCCUACGGGAGGCAGCAGUGGGGAAUAUUGGAGAAUGGGCGCAAGCCUGAUCCAGCCAUACCGCGUGGGUGAAGAAGGCCUUCGGGUUGUAAAGCCCUUUUGUUGGGAAAGAAAAGCAGCAGGUUAAUACCCCGCUGUCCUGACGGUACCCAAAGAAUAAGCACCGGCUAACUUCGUG